RNAcentral lists this long non-coding RNA (294 nucleotides) under Homo sapiens (human). Its description in RNAcentral is "LNC_000636". Lineage: Eukaryota; Metazoa; Chordata; Mammalia; Primates; Hominidae. The record is from RNAcentral.
CCAUACUCAAAUAGUCGCAGAAGGUCGUAGUACUGGCCGUGUAUGUCACCGCAGAUCUUGAGGGGUGCCUCCAGCUCCAGAAGAAUGGGCUGGCUCAGAAAAAUCUCCCGGGAUUUCAGGCACAGACCGCGGAUCUCGUUCUCUGUCAGCUGUACAUUCUUGCCAGGCCGCGAGCCCUGCACUUCCAGCAGGCGCCCGAUGAUCGAGUCCAGGUUGAGCUUCUCGCUGUCGGACAUGGCGGCGCCGCCGCUCCAGCCCAGCAGCUCCUGGCCCGCUCCUGCCUCCCGCCCUCCG